RNAcentral lists this ribosomal RNA (497 nucleotides) under uncultured bacterium. RNAcentral describes it as "partial 16S ribosomal RNA". It matches the Rfam family "Bacterial small subunit ribosomal RNA", at positions 28 to 507 of the family's 1533-position model. The record is from RNAcentral.
GAUGAACGCUGGCGGCGUGCCUAAUACAUGCAAGUCGAGCGAACAGACGAGGAGCUUGCUCCUCUGACGUUAGCGGCGGACGGGUGAGUAACACGUGGAUAACCUACCUAUAAGACUGGGAUAACUUCGGGAAACCGGAGCUAAUACCGGAUAAUAUAUUGAACCGCAUGGUUCAAUAGUGAAAGACGGUUUUGCCGUCACUUAUAGAUGGAUCCGCGCCGCAUUAGCUAGUUGGUAAGGUAACGGCUUACCAAGGCAACGAUGCGUAGCCGACCUGAGAGGGUGAUCGGCCACACUGGAACUGAGACACGGUCCAGACUCCUACGGGAGGCAGCAGUAGGGAAUCUUCCGCAAUGGGCGAAAGCCUGACGGAGCAACGCCACGUGAGUGAUGAAGGUCUUCGGAUCGUAAAACUCUGUUAUUAGGGAAGAACAAAUGUGUAAGUAACUAUGCACGUCUUGACGGUACCUAAUCAGAAAGCCACGGCUAACUACGUG